GUAUAAAUUACACAUGAAAAUUUGGGUUUACAGUAUUUAAUUUAGUUUGUAGAUUUGGCAUUUUACCAUUUAUUAAAACUUUUUUCUAAUAAAUUAUGGUUAUUUGUUAAAAAUAUGUAGUUUCCUUGAAUGAAGGAGAGAUACAUCAGUUAUGAUUUUGAACCUCCUCUCCCAUUUUAUCCUGGGUCGGGAACCCCCCUUUUGAAAAUGUCUGGAUCUACCCCUGCACCUAUAAGGAAGAAGUGAUAAGAACUUAGUUUAAGUCUUUGGUUUGACAAGGGCAAGGAACAAACUAAGGACGAACUGCACCCAAACAUUACCUAGGUGGUGUACAUGGUUCAUGAAAGAGUAAAUUAUUAAUAAAAGUAUAAGAAUAUUGGAGGAAAAAUUAUUAAUGAUGAGAGCUGGUAGAAUUGGACUGUUUUCAUGUGAAUCCUAUUCAUUGCCUUUUUUCUGUGGCAGUCAUGUCAUCAGACAUACAUAACAGCCCAUGUAGAUUUUGCUUUUUCCACCUGCCCACAGUGGACAGUCCACUUGUGCCCACUUUAGCCAUAAUCUAUUAAUUUUUUUAAAAUAUUAAUUAUAAAUGCUUAUCUGCUUUUUUAAAUUGAUUGUACUUGCAAGUCUUUUGAUUCAACAAAAGAAAUUGCAUGCCCACUCCUAUUGGUGGGCAAAGUGGACAAGCUAGAAAUUUUGCCCACCAGUGCCCAUUCCCACUGUGGGUGGGUGGACAAAUCCACUUGAGCUGUUGCGUACCUUUGAAAUCUGAUAAUCACAGAACUCAUCAUUUUAUUUAGUCUUUUAAUCAUUAUUAAUUGUUUUGACCCAUUUUUUGCAACAGGU
Molecule: long non-coding RNA, 843 nt
Filed under: Mytilus galloprovincialis (Mediterranean mussel)
Lineage: Eukaryota; Metazoa; Mollusca; Bivalvia; Mytilida; Mytilidae
Source: RNAcentral